RNAcentral lists this ribosomal RNA (229 nucleotides) under uncultured bacterium. Its description in RNAcentral is "partial 16S ribosomal RNA". It matches the Rfam family "Bacterial small subunit ribosomal RNA", at positions 568 to 796 of the family's 1533-position model. The record is from RNAcentral.
UGCGUAGGCGCCCAGGAAAGUUAUUUGUUAAAGCCUCCGGCUUAACCGGAGAGAUGCAAGUAAAACUAUCUGGAUAGAGUUUAAGAGAGGAAAAUGGAAUUCCUGGUGUAGCGGUGACAUGCGUAGAUAUCAGGAGGAACAUCAAUGGCGAAGGCAGUUUUCUGGCUUAAAACUGACGCUGAGGCACGAAAGCGUGGGGAGCAAACAAGAUUAGAUACCCUGGUAGUCC